AUCCCUAACAACAAAUAAGUCCAACUUCCUUGGAAUCCAUCAGAAAUUAUUGUAAGCUGGGAGAGGCAAGGGAAGUCUAUUAAAUACCAGAGAGAGGCUAAAAGGAUUCGAAGCUCACUCUGGAAGGAUUAAAGCUAGCAGCUGCGAUGGGAACACCAAGAACAGUGAAAGUCACAAGCCAAAGACCACCAAGACGAAGAAAAAACUG
Long non-coding RNA from Brassica oleracea var. oleracea, 208 nucleotides. RefSeq lists it as uncharacterized. The record is from RefSeq and is a predicted model, not a curated record. The transcript has 2 exons. NCBI's taxonomy places the organism in Eukaryota, Viridiplantae, Streptophyta, Magnoliopsida, Brassicales, Brassicaceae.